GUGUCAGCCGCCGCGGUAAUACAGAGGGUGCGAGCGUUAAUCGGAAUUACUGGGCGUAAAGCGCACGUAGGCGGCUUUGUAAGUCGGGUGUGAAAUCCCCGGGCUCAACCUGGGAACUGCAUUCGAGACUGCAUGGCUGGAGUACGGAAGAGGAAGGCGGAAUUCCCGGUGUAGCGGUGAAAUGCGUAGAUAUCGGGAGGAACAUCAGUGGCGAAGGCGGCCUUCUGGUCCAGUACUGACGCUCAAGUGCGAAAGCGUGGGGAGCAAACAGGAUUAGAAACCCCCGUAGUCC
RNAcentral lists this ribosomal RNA (292 nucleotides) under uncultured bacterium. RNAcentral describes it as "partial 16S ribosomal RNA". It matches the Rfam family "Bacterial small subunit ribosomal RNA", at positions 505 to 796 of the family's 1533-position model. The record is from RNAcentral.